AGUCAAGAUCUCUCUCCUACUCACCUCAGGUGGCUGGUCAGCAGUUAUCCCUGCUGAAGCAGAGAACUCAACUGAGCUGGUGCUUCCAGGCUGAAAGGUUUCCAGGAAAAAAAGUGCCUAUGGAAAAGAGAAUGGUGACUGAAGCACUACAGCUCUGAAGGUGCUGAAAUUCUGUUCUCAUUGACCAUGGAGUUUUAUUUAUGUGGUGGGAUGAAUAUCAACAUUUAAAACCAAACAAGCGAGCAAGGAAAAGCCAACAAUAGAGCAAACCCUACAAACUGUUUCAUUAAUGGGCACAAUGUGGAAUGGGAAAGAGGACAUGAAUAGAGAAACAUUAAGCAACGUGAACCGAGAUCCCUUCCAAGUGCACUGAGAUGGUGUGGACAGUGCUCCAUGAGGGCAGAUUCCAGAUUGGAAUGAUUUUCCUAGAGUGAAUACCUAUGAAUAGACUGAAACAUCUGGCUUCCAAUGGGAAGUGAAUACAUGAAGAAAGUUGCUGAUCAAACAUACCUGUCACAAGUACUGUCAGAAGGAUGUAAUGGAAAUUGUGAACCUUUUGGAAAUAAUAUUUUUAAAAACAGAAUGAUGCAGCAUGAAGUCCAUACAAGUCCAAUCUAAAUGUAAGCUGCAAGCCUGCCUGAGAACCCUCUUCUCUUUAACUGAAAUAGGAUUUUUCACAGCACAAGCUUUGGAAAGCACUCAGAAACACCUGACUACUUGGCUGAGAAAUGAUGAGUGUAUAUUAGACACCCAUAGAUAGGUGGGGAUGUUCACUGAUUGGGGCACCUAGAA
Long non-coding RNA from Lonchura striata (white-rumped munia), 792 nucleotides. RefSeq lists it as uncharacterized. The record is from RefSeq and is a predicted model, not a curated record. NCBI's taxonomy places the organism in Eukaryota, Metazoa, Chordata, Aves, Passeriformes, Estrildidae.